RNAcentral lists this ribosomal RNA (629 nucleotides) under uncultured marine bacterium. RNAcentral describes it as "bacterial SSU rRNA". It matches the Rfam family "Bacterial small subunit ribosomal RNA", at positions 8 to 621 of the family's 1533-position model. The record is from RNAcentral.
AGAGUUUGAUCCUGGCUCAGGACGAACGCUGGCGGCGUGCCUAAUACAUGCAAGUCGAGCGAAUCGAUGGGAGCUUGCUCCCUGAGAUUAGCGGCGGACGGGUGAGUAACACGUGGGCAACCUGCCUAUAAGACUGGGAUAACUUCGGGAAACCGGAGCUAAUACCGGAUACGUUCUUUUCUCGCAUGAGAGAAGAUGGAAAGACGGUUUACGCUGUCACUUAUAGAUGGGCCCGCGCGCAUUAGCUAGUUGGUGAGGUAAUGGCUCACCAAGGCGACGAUGCGUAGCCGACCUGAGAGGGUGAUCGGCCACACUGGGACUGAGACACGGCCCAGACUCCUACGGGGGGCAGCAGUAGGGAAUCUUCCGCAAUGGACGAAAGUCUGACGGAGCAACGCCGCGUGAACGAAGAAGGCCUUCGGGUCGUAAAGUUCUGUUGUUAGGGAAGAACAAGUACCAGAGUAACUGCUGGUACCUUGACGGUACCUAACCAGAAAGCCACGGCUAACUACGUGCCAGCAGCCGCGGUAAUACGUAGGUGGCAAGCGUUGUCCGGAAUUAUUGGGCGUAAAGCGCGCGCAGGUGGUUCCUUAAGUCUGAUGUGAAAGCCCACGGCUCAACCGUGGAGG